AGUGAACGCUGGCGGCGUGCUUAACACAUGCAAGUCGAACGAGAACGGAUUAUAGCUCGCUAUAAUUGUCAGCUAAGUGGCGCACGGGUGAGUAAUGUAUAGGUAAUAUGCCUCUUACUAAGGGAUAACAAAUGGAAACGUUUGCUAAUACCUUAUACUCCUUAUUAACAGAAGUUAAUAAGGGAAAGAUUUAUUGGUAAGAGAUUAGCCUGUAUUGUAUCAGUUAGUUGGUGGGGUAAUGUCUUACCAAGACUAUGACACAUAACUGGUUUGAGAGGAUGGUCAGUCACACUGGAACGGAGACACGGUACAGACUCCUACGGGAGGCAGCAGUGGGGAAUAUUGCACAAUGGACGAAAGUCUGAUGCAGCAACGCCGCGUGGAGGAUGACACAUUUCGGUGCGUAAACUCCUUUUAUAUGAGAAGAUAAUGACGGUAUUAUAUGAAUAAGCACCGGCUAACUCCGUGCCAGCCGCCGCGGUAA
Molecule: ribosomal RNA, 484 nt
Filed under: uncultured bacterium
Lineage: Bacteria
Description: partial 16S ribosomal RNA
Rfam family: Bacterial small subunit ribosomal RNA
Source: RNAcentral